RNAcentral lists this ribosomal RNA (1449 nucleotides) under Pseudomonas aeruginosa. Its description in RNAcentral is "partial 23S ribosomal RNA". It matches the Rfam family "Bacterial large subunit ribosomal RNA", at positions 61 to 1556 of the family's 2925-position model. Lineage: Bacteria; Pseudomonadati; Pseudomonadota; Gammaproteobacteria; Pseudomonadales; Pseudomonadaceae. The record is from RNAcentral.
CUAAUCUGCGAAAAGCGUCGGUAAGGUGAUAUGAACCGUUAUAACCGGCGAUGUCCGAAUGGGGAAACCCAGUGCAAUUCGUUGCACUAUCGUUAACUGAAUACAUAGGUUAACGAGGCGAACCGGGGGAACUGAAACAUCUAAGUACCCCGAGGAAAAGAAAUCAACCGAGAUUCCCCCAGUAGCGGCGAGCGAACGGGGAGCAGCCCAGAGUCUGAAUCAGCUUGUGUGUUAGUGGAACGGUCUGGAAAGUCCGACGGUACAGGGUGAUAGUCCCGUACACCAAAAUGCACAGGUUGUGAACUCGAAGAGUAGGGCGGGACACGUGGUAUCCUGUCUGAAUAUGGGGGGACCAUCCUCCAAGGCUAAAUACUCCUGACUGACCGAUAGUGAACCAGUACCGUGAGGGAAAGGCGAAAAGAACCCCGGCGAGGGGAGUGAAAAAGAACCUGAAACCGUGUACGUACAAGCAGUGGGAGCACCUUCGGGUGUGACUGCGUACCUUUUGUAUAAUGGGUCAGCGACUUAUAUUCUGUAGCAAGGUUAACCGUAUAGGGGAGCCGCAGGGAAACCGAGUCUUAACUGGGCGUUAAGUUGCAGGGUAUAGACCCGAAACCCGGUGAUCUAGCCAUGGGCAGGUUGAAGGUUGGGUAACACUAACUGGAGGACCGAACCGACUAAUGUUGAAAAAUUAGCGGAUGACUUGUGGCUGGGGGUGAAAGGCCAAUCAAACCGGGAGAUAGCUGGUUCUCCCCGAAAGCUAUUUAGGUAGCGCCUCGUGAACUCAUCUUCGGGGGUAGAGCACUGUUUCGGCUAGGGGGUCAUCCCGACUUACCAACCCGAUGCAAACUACGAAUACCGAAGAAUGUUAUCACGGGAGACACACGGCGGGUGCUAACGUCCGUCGUGAAGAGGGAAACAACCCAGACCGCCAGCUAAGGUCCCAAAGUCAUGGUUAAGUGGGAAACGAUGUGGGAAGGCACAGACAGCCAGGAUGUUGGCUUAGAAGCAGCCAUCAUUUAAAGAAAGCGUAAUAGCUCACUGGUCGAGUCGGCCUGCGCGGAAGAUGUAACGGGGCUAAACCAUGCACCGAAGCUGCGGCAGCGACACUAUGUGUUGUUGGGUAGGGGAGCGUUCUGUAAGCCUGCGAAGGUGUGCUGUGAGGCAUGCUGGAGGUAUCAGAAGUGCGAAUGCUGACAUAAGUAACGAUAAAGCGGGUGAAAAGCCCGCUCGCCGGAAGACCAAGGGUUCCUGUCCAACGUUAAUCGGGGCAGGGUGAGUCGACCCCUAAGGCGAGGCCGAAAGGCGUAGUCGAUGGGAAACAGGUUAAUAUUCCUGUACUUGGUGUUACUGCGAAGGGGGGACGGAGAAGGCUAUGUUAGCCGGGCGACGGUUGUCCCGGUUUAAGCAUGUAGGCUGGUUAUCCAGGCAAAUCCGGAUAAUCAAGGC